AACGAACGCUGGCGGCAUGCCUAACACAUGCAAGUCGAACGAGACCUUCGGGUCUAGUGGCGCACGGGUGCGUAACGCGUGGGAAUCUGCCCUUGGGUCCGGAAUAACUCAGAGAAAUUUGAGCUAAUACCGGAUGAUGACGUAAGUCCAAAGAUUUAUCGCCCAGGGAUGAGCCCGCGUAGGAUUAGCUAGUUGGUGAGGUAAAGGCUCACCAAGGCGACGAUCCUUAGCGGUCUGAGAGGAUGAUCAGCCACACUGGGACUGAGACACGGCCCCAGACUCCUACGGGAGGCAGCAGUGGGGAAUAUUGGACAAUGGGCGAAAGCCUGAUCCAGCAAUGCCGCGUGAGUGAUGAAGGCCUUAGGGUUGUAAAGCUCUUUUACCCGGGAUGAUAAUGACAGUACCGGGAGAAUAAGCCCCGGCUAACUCCGUGCCAGCAGCCGCCGU
Molecule: ribosomal RNA, 447 nt
Filed under: uncultured bacterium
Lineage: Bacteria
Description: bacterial SSU rRNA
Rfam family: Bacterial small subunit ribosomal RNA
Source: RNAcentral